GUGUUGUAAUGGUGUGGUAGUGUCAUGAUGUCAUGGUGUGAUGGUGUCAUGGUGUGGUGGUGUCAUGGUGUGGUGGUGUCAUGGUGUGGUGGUGUCUGGUGUGGUGGUGUCAUGUGGUGGUGUAAUGGUGUCAUGAUGUCAUGGUGUGGUGGUGUCAUGGUGUGGUGGUGUCAUGGUGUGGUAGUGUUAUGAUGUCAUGGUGUCAUAUUGUGGUGGUGUCAUGGUGCGGUGGUGUCAUGGUGUAGUGGUGUCAUGGUGUGGUGGUGUCAUGGUGUAGUGGCGUCAUGGUGGUGUGGCGUCAUGGUGGUGUGGUGUCAUGGUGUAGGGGUGUCAUGGUGUGGUGGUGUCAUGGUGUGGUGGUGUCAUGGUGUGCUGGUGUGGUGGUGUCAUGGUGUGAUGGUGUCAUGGUGGCAUGGUGUGGUGGUGUCAUGGUGUGGAGGUGUCAUGUGGUGGUGUCAUGGUGUGGUGGUGUCAUGGUGUAGUGGUGUCAUGGUGUAGUGGUGUUAUGGUGUGGUGGUGUCAUGGUGUGGUGGUGUCAUGGUGUAGUGGCGUCAUGGUGGUGUGGCGUCAUGGUGGUGUGGUGUCAUGGUGUAGGGGUGUCAUGGUGUGGUGGUGUCAUGGUGUAGGGGUGUCAUGGUGUGGUGGUGUCAUGGUGUGGUGGUGUCAUGGUGUGGUGGUGUCAUGGUGUGGUGGUGUCAUGGUGUAGUGGUUUCAUGGUGUGGUGGUGUCAUGGUGUGGUGGUGUCAUGGUUAUGUCGUGGUGUCAUGGUGUGCUGGUGUCAUGGUGUGAUGGUGUCAUGGUGUGGUGGUGGCAUGGUGAGGUGGUGUCAUGGUGUGGUGGUGUCAUGGUGUGGAGGUGUCAUGUGGUGGUGUAAUGGUGUGGUAGUGUCAUGAUGUCAUGGUGUAGUGGUGUCAUGAUAACAUUGUGUGGUGGUGUCAUGGUGUGGUGGUGUCAUGGUGUGGUGGUGUCUGGUGUGGUGGUGGCAUGGUGUGGUGGUGUAGUGGUGUCAUGGUGUGGAGGUGUCAUGUGGUGGUGUAAUGGUGUCAUGAUGUCAUGGUGUGGUGGUGUAGUGGUGUCAUGGUGUGGUGGUGUCAUGGUGUGGUGGUGUCAUGGUGUAGUGGUGUUAUGGUGUGGUGGUAUAGUGGCGUCAUGGUGGUGUGGUGUCAUGGUGUAGUGGUGUCAUGGUGUGGUGGUGUCAUGGUGUGGUGUUGUCAUGGUGUAGUGGUGUCAUGGUGUGUUGGUGUAGUGGUGCCAUGGUGUGGUGGUGUCAUGGUGUGGUGGUGUCAUGGUGUAGUGGUGUUAUGGUGUGGUGGUGUUAUGGUGUGGUGGUGUCAUGGUGUGGUGGUGUUAUGGUGUGGUGGUGUUAUGGUGUGGUGGUGUCAUGGUGUAGUGGUGUCAUGGUGUAGUGGUGUUAUGGUGUGGUGGUGUCAUGGUGUAGGGGUGUCAUGGUGUAGUGGUGUCAUGGUGUGGUGGUGUCAUGGUGUGGUGGUGUCAUGGUGUCAUGGUGUGGUGGUGUCAUGGUGUAGGGGUGUCAUGGUGUAGUGGUGUCAUGGUGUGGUGGUGUCAUGGUGUGGUGGUGUCAUGGUGUCAUGGUGUGGUGGUGUG
This is a long non-coding RNA of Oncorhynchus tshawytscha (Chinook salmon), 1605 nucleotides long. The record is from Ensembl. NCBI's taxonomy places the organism in Eukaryota, Metazoa, Chordata, Actinopteri, Salmoniformes, Salmonidae.